This is a long non-coding RNA of Dicentrarchus labrax (European seabass), 866 nucleotides long. RefSeq lists it as uncharacterized. NCBI's taxonomy places the organism in Eukaryota, Metazoa, Chordata, Actinopteri, Moronidae. The transcript has 8 exons. The record is from RefSeq and is a predicted model, not a curated record.
AAUAAUGUGAUUAUAUCUGACGACCCACUGCAGGUUGUUAAUGAACAGAUAUCUACGGAGGCAGAUUAGUGCCAAUAAUGCAGGUUGUUAAUGAACAGAUAUCUACGGAGGCAGAUUAGUGCCAAUAAUGCAGGUUGUUAAUGAACAGAUAUCUACGGAGGCAGAUUAGUGCCAAUAAUGCAGGUUGUUAAUGAACAGAUAUCUACGGAGGCAGAUUAGUGCCAAUAAUGCAGAUUGUUAAUGAACAGAUAAUCUACGGAGGCAGAUUAGUGCCAAUAAUGCAGGUUGUUAAUGAACAGAUAAUCUACGGAGGCAGAUUAGUGCCAAUAAUGCAGGUUGUUAAUGAACAGAUAUCUACGGAGGCAGAUUAGUGCCAAUAAUGCAGGUUGUUAAUGAACAGAUAAUCUACGGAGGCAGAUUAGUGCCAAUAAUGCAGGUUGUUAAUGAACAGAUAAUCUACGGAGGCAGAUUAGUGCCAAUAAUGCAGAUUGUUAAUGAACAGAUAUCUACGGAGGCAGAUUAGUGCCAAUAAUGCAGGUUGUUAAUGAACAGAUAAACUACGGAGGCAGAUUAGUGCCAAUAAUGCAGGUUGUUAAUGAACAGAUAAACUACGGAGGCAGAUUAGUGCCAAUAAUGCAGGUUGUUAAUGAACAGAUAAUCUACGGAGGCAGAUUAGUGCCAAUAAUGCAGGUUGUUAAUGAACAGAUAAACUACAGAGGCAGAUUAGUGCCAAUAAUGCAGGUUGUUAAUGAACAGAUAAACUACGGAGGCAGAUUAGUGCCAAUAAUGCAGGUUGUUAAUGAACAGAUAAACUACGGAGGCAGAUUAGUGCCAAUAAUGCAGGUUGUUAAUGAACAGAUAAAACG